This 496-nucleotide ribosomal RNA is filed under the name uncultured bacterium. RNAcentral's name for it is "partial 16S ribosomal RNA". It matches the Rfam family "Bacterial small subunit ribosomal RNA", at positions 29 to 507 of the family's 1533-position model. The record is from RNAcentral.
AUGAACGCUGGCGGCGUGCCUAAUACAUGCAAGUCGCGCGCACAGACGAGGAGCUUGCUCCUCUGACGUUAGCGGCGGACGGGUGAGUAACACGUGGAUAACCUACCUAUAAGACUGGGAUAACUUCGGGAAACCGGAGCUAAUACCGGAUAAUAUAUUGAACCGCAUGGUUCAAUAGUGAAAGACGGUUUUGCUGUCACUUAUAGAUGGAUCCGCGCCGCAUUAGCUAGUUGGUAAGGUAACGGCUUACCAAGGCAACGAUGCGUAGCCGACCUGAGAGGGUGAUCGGCUACACUGGAACUGAGACACGGUCCAGACUCCUACGGGAGGCAGCAGUAGGGAAUCUUCCGCAAUGGGCGAAAGCCUGACGGAGCAACGCCGCGUGAGUGAUGAAGGUCUUCGGAUCGUAAAACUCUGUUAUUAGGGAAGAACAAAUGUGUAAGUAACUAUGCACGUCUUGACGGUACCUAAUCAGAAAGCCACGGCUAACUACGUG